AAAAUUUUAAGUUAAAUUUAAACUAUAAACUUUCAAAGUUUAAUAUAUAAAAAAAAUUUAUAAAUUUUA
This 69-nucleotide transfer RNA is filed under the name Meteorus pulchricornis. Its description in RNAcentral is "tRNA-Trp". Lineage: Eukaryota; Metazoa; Arthropoda; Insecta; Hymenoptera; Braconidae. The record is from RNAcentral.